AAUCAACGCUGGCGGCGUGCCUCAGACAUGCAAGUCGAACGCUGCUGUUCGCCUUCGGGUGGACAGCGGAGUGGCGCACGGGUGAGUAACACGUAGGUAAUCUACCUUUGGGUGGGAAUAACAGCCGGAAACGGCUGCUAAUACCGCAUAAUGCAGCGGCAUCACAUGAUGACAGUUGUUAAAGCGAGGGAUCGUAAGACCUCGCGCCUGAAGAGGAGCCUGCGGCAGAUUAGGUAGUUGGUGAGGUAAUGGCUCACCAAGCCUGCGAUCUGUAACCGGCCUGAGAGGGCGGUCGGUCACACUGACACUGACAUACGGGUCAGACUCCUACGGGAGGCAGC
RNAcentral lists this ribosomal RNA (341 nucleotides) under uncultured bacterium. RNAcentral describes it as "bacterial SSU rRNA". It matches the Rfam family "Bacterial small subunit ribosomal RNA", at positions 32 to 352 of the family's 1533-position model. The record is from RNAcentral.